RNAcentral lists this non-coding RNA (148 nucleotides) under Homo sapiens (human). The record is from Rfam by way of RNAcentral. Lineage: Eukaryota; Metazoa; Chordata; Mammalia; Primates; Hominidae.
GCUGGGCAUGGUGGUGUGUGCCUGUAAGCCCAGCUACCUGGGAGGCUGAGGCAGGAGAAUUGCUUGAACCCAGGAGGUGGAGUUUGCAGUGAGCUGAGAUCACGCCACUGUACUCCAGCCUGGGUGACAGAGCAAGACUCUGUCUCGA